RNAcentral lists this long non-coding RNA (1172 nucleotides) under Meleagris gallopavo (turkey). RNAcentral's name for it is "lncRNA (ENSMGAG00000022876.1)". The record is from RNAcentral. Lineage: Eukaryota; Metazoa; Chordata; Aves; Galliformes; Phasianidae.
GAUUCUCAGGAGAAUUAAGAGUUGCCUCUUUUCCUACUUUAAAUGACAACAUUGAUGAAAUAUGGGAUUGGGACUUGGCUGCACCUGUUCCUUGAAACAAAAAGAAAACAUAACGGUGAAAUAAAUAUGGUGACUGCAUGGCCUGUUUUUAUUAAUGAUAAUCACAGAAUAUCUGAGCAGCCACCAUCAGAGCUCUUGAGAAUGACUGCCUGGGAGGGAGAAGGUGACUUUUUAAACAGGAUCACAGACUUGUGCAAACUGGAAGUGAGCUCUGGAGUACCUCUUAUAGAGUUUGCAGCUCGAAGACAGGCCAGCUGGGUCAGAAUGCUCAUGGACCUACCCAGUCUGGUCUUGUAAAUCUUUUGGGAACCUUGUUCCAGUGUUGGAUUGCUUUCAUGGUAAAAAGUUUUUUCCUUUUAUGUGAUAAGAGCUAUUGAUGCAACUGAAUUGUCUGGGCAGCUUGUGCCUGUGCCUUACCAUCCUCUGAAUAAAGAACUAGUAAAGAACUUCCUCCUAACAUCUAACCAAUCGGUGUCCAACCUUUUGGCUUGCUUAGGCUGCACUGAGUGAAGAGGAAUUGUCUAGGGCUGCAUCUACAGUAGUUGCUCUGAAAGCAAUACCUCCAAAUUAUUUCAAUGGAAACACAAAUAGCACAACAACACUAUUUAAUAGAGCAAAUUCUUAGCUACAAAGCAGUAUUUUUCAACACAGUCACCACCAUUAGCUGUGCAGUUUUACUAGCGAUGAACAUGAGCCUGCAUGCUGUUCUCUUAACAAUCUGCAUCUACGGAGGUGACCCACUGUCAUUCUUACCACUGCUGAAAUGUACCACCCACCACCUCAGUAUGCUCACAUCCACAGUUUGACUUCACAGACGUUAAGCAAAUGUCAAUGAAUGUUAAUGGGUACAAUUUUUUCUGCAUGGAAGAAUUCAAUUCCACAUCUUUGCUUCAUCUGCACUUCUAUGUCACAUGCCAUUUUGUCAGACUACCCCUCUGCUGCCAUCCAUCACACAGAAACAGGAUGUAAUGGGUUAUUGGUGGGAAAGGUUCAACCUCUACUGCCAUACCAUCAACAUCUGCCUCUGAUAUCAUGGGCCAGCAUAAUAAAAUAGAAGAUACUACUUUUGUGGCAGCCCUCAUAAAAUAUACAAUGUAGUUAGUGUAUGUAAG